Lytechinus pictus (painted urchin) is the source of this 1310-nucleotide long non-coding RNA. RefSeq lists it as uncharacterized. NCBI's taxonomy places the organism in Eukaryota, Metazoa, Echinodermata, Echinoidea, Temnopleuroida, Toxopneustidae. The transcript is spliced from 3 exons. The record is from RefSeq and is a predicted model, not a curated record.
UCCUCUGUCUCGAAGGGGACAUAAGAAGGUCGCUGAUUGGCUGCACCUUGCUCAAGCUGUUUUCGCUCCGGGACGAUCACACUUUUUCACAGCUCAGAUUGGCAUGUUGGUGAACUUAUUAGCUUAGAUUUCACGUUAUUCAUGCCUACAUGAGCUGCAUACAACUGCUCUAAUCGGUAGGAUGUGGACGGACAUUGCAUUCAUUCCCAUUCAGCCGUUGGACUGAACCUGUACUGUCUGUAACACAGUAUGGAUGGUCAAUAUGAAGCGAGCUUCAUUGAAUUCCUCCAAGAGCUCUUGUACUCCGUUCUGACCAUUUUGAAGAUGGUUGCUUUGACAGGACUGGGCAAGUGACUCGUCUUAGACAGGAUGCUGUCCCAACCAUGUUUGAUUUCCUGCCUCGUCUUCAGAAGCCAAGGAAUUCCCCGAAAGAAAGACGUUUUGAUUCAGCAAACAACCUCCCAGAUACUGCAAAGUCUUCAGCACCUUCAUUUCUCGAGGACCACUCCUACUCAAUAUCAGAAAGUCCAAGAGAGGUAAAGUGGAAGAUAACAGCAAUAAUGGACUGUAUUAAGAACUUGGAGAAGAGGCUGAAAACCACACACGAGAAGUCCCGUCGUGUACAUUACUUGCUCUUAAGUUUGGACAAACAUAACUUGCAAAACUUUACAACAAAUAAUUACCCCAAUGUGCAUUCUGAUUAUUUAAAAUAGCUCAAUGAAAUAGUUUAUCAGUGGGCAUGUAACAAAAGUGAAUUCAUUAAAUUUGAACGUGUUGCAAAAAUGAUGUCUUACAGUAUAUUCAUUCUGACUUAGAAUGUCAGAAGAGAAAAAAGUUUGUGAAAAGUAGGAAUGACGGCAAGAUGACAGAAGAAUAGAACAGGAUAGAGCAAGGGGGACAGAUAAAGGACAAGUCCACCCCAAAAAUUGUUGAUAUGAAUAAAAAGAGAAAAAUCCAACAAGCAUAACACUGAAAAUUUGAUAAAAAAUCGGAUGUAAAAUAAGAAAGUUAUGACAUUUAAAAAUUUUGCUAAAUUUUACAAAAGAGUUAUAUGCACAUUCUGUACACAGUCAGUAUGCAAAUGAGGAGAUUGAUGACGUCAUCCACUCACUAUUUCAUUUGAUAUAUAGAAUAAGGUAUAUUCUAAUUUUCUCCUUGUCAUGUUAAACAAAAUUUUAUUCCUCCCUGAUCAUGUGGAAUUAGCAUUAUUCAAUACUUUUUUGGUUCAGUAAAGUUUGUCCUUAUGGUAAAAUCUGUAAAAAAUGAAAUAUUGUAUAAUUCAAACAAUAAAAAACAAAAUAAACAGUGAG